This 587-nucleotide ribosomal RNA is filed under the name uncultured bacterium. RNAcentral's name for it is "partial 16S ribosomal RNA". It matches the Rfam family "Bacterial small subunit ribosomal RNA", at positions 355 to 1376 of the family's 1533-position model. The record is from RNAcentral.
UGGGGAAUUUUGGACAAUGGGGGAAACCCUGAUCCAGCCAUCCCGCGUGUGCGAUGAAGGCCUUCGGGUUGUAAAGCACUUUUGGCAGGAAAGAAACGUCGCGGGUUAAUACCCCGCGGAACUGACGGUACCUGCAGAAUAAGUACCGGCUAACUACGUGCCAGCAGCCGCGGUAAUACGUAGGGUGCAAGCGUUAAUCGGAAUUACUGGGCGUAAAGCGUGCGCAGGCGGUUCGGAAAGAAAGAUGUGAAAUCCCAGAGCUUAACUUUGGAACUGCAUUUUUAACUACCGGGCUAGAGUGUGUCGGAGGGAGGUGGAAUUCCGCGUGUAGCAGUGAAAUGCGUAGAUAUGCGGAGGAACACCGAUGGCGAAGGCAGCCUCCUGGGAUAACACUGACGCUCAUGCACGAAAGCGUGGGGAGCAAAACAGGAUUAGAUACCCUGGUAGUCCACGCCCUAAACGAUGUCAACUAGCUGUUGGGGUCUUCGGACCUUGGUAGCGCAGCUAACGCGUGAAGUUGACCGCCUGGGGAGUACGGUCGCAAGAUUAAAACUCAAAUGAAUUGACGGGGUCAUAGCUGUUUCCUG